GUGUAAAAGAGGGGACUCCCCUAAGAAAGGAGUGCCCCUCUCACCCUUGCUGCUGCUGGGCUUUGUGGAUCUUAUCAAAUUCUCAAGCGAGGGUUCCAGCAUAAAGAGUAAUAAAAUGAUAGCUGUACAGAUUUUUUUUUUCCAAAACUUCCGGAUCGUUCAACUCCCGUCUUCUUCGUUAUUUGUUUAGGGUUUCAUAUCAUAUUGAGAUGAAUUGUUACAAUCAGUCGAUUAAACCAGAGAUCAUCAUUUUCAUUGAUUCACUGUUCAGUUUUUGUUUUGUAUUUCAGAAGAGUUUUGUCUUCUUGCACGAUUGAUUUGGGUUAAUAAAGUUGGUUUGGGGCAAAUCUGUGCAGAUCUUGUAUCUGUGACAGGUGUAUAUCGUCUGACAACUUAAAUCCUCUCUUGUAGCGUCAAUUCUAGAUCAAAGUCCACUCCAGCACCGCGGUGAAUCAAGGUGGUUCUAGAUUCAUCUCUUAAUUUGUCCAGAUCUUCACUUGAAUGACCAAUUCGGUGAAUCAAGUUUAAAGAGGAAGGGGGCUAGCUGAAUGAGCAAAUUAGGUAUUAACACAUGGGAGGUUUUUCUUCAGAAAAUUCAAAAUGGCUAUGAAGAAGAUGGAGUCUACUCUUAUGGCUUUAAGUCGAGUUUCAAAGCUGAAAGUGUAAUAUGAUGGAAGGAAAGUACCUUGGCCGACUGAUUUGUGUUUUUUUGAUGAUGAUCUUCUAUUUAGACAGUAGGGGCUUUAAAGCUUACAUUUGUUCCAAGAGUUGACUAUUUAUUCCAGAUUGUAAUUAUAACAUGAUUUUUUAUGCUUCUUCUUUUUGUUUAUGGUUAUGAAAUAUUACUUUUAAUUUAAAUUAUGUAUGUAGAACCGAUUGUAACUGCAACAUGGAGGUUUGUAACUGCAACAUGGAGCUUAUUUGAAAUUUGUAAGUUUUAUAGUAAUUAGAUCGUGGCCCUGAAUAUUAGUC
This 972-nucleotide long non-coding RNA is filed under the name Helianthus annuus (common sunflower). Lineage: Eukaryota; Viridiplantae; Streptophyta; Magnoliopsida; Asterales; Asteraceae. The record is from RNAcentral.